CCAGUAGUGACGCCAUACUAGGUGACGGUGUGAACUAAAGUUCUGGUGUACAAAAAAAGUGCAUAGUAACAAAAAAUAGAAUAUUUUUAUAAUCUAUGGUAAUGUUAAAACCUAUAUACAAAGCCUUAGUUCAAAAAUGUUGAGGCCUGUGUCUAAUAUAGUGGUAGAGCCCCUUAAUUUAAAUUAUACAUACAAUUUUCUAUUUUUUUGCUAUAUUGAUUAUUAAAUAAAUUUUUUUUAAUAUUAUCCACACAAUAUAAACAGCUAAUAUAAAUAUUGCAGGCCCAAUUGAAAUUAAAUACUCAUUAAAAGUAAACUAUACUUCUAUUAAAAAUUGUAUGAUGUUAUAUUGCUGAUAUUCAAUAUGUAAAAUCAUGUUUCUGAUUAAAAUUAGGUAUUUGAAAUGUAAGAAUCGUCGUUAUGGCUGUCCAGUAUCAGAAAAAAUGGCAACAAUUGAUGAAGGAUCCCCAAUACUAAUUUAUCCAACAUAAUAUGUUCAUAGCCACGAACCUCUCGUAAUAUCUAGGUGUGUUUCCAGAUACCAACAAUUCUGAUGCUAGUUUUUCUAAUCAGGUACAGCAAAAAACAGAGGUGAAUCAAACAAACAGACACAUAAUAUAGCAUUAUUCGAUAUGUCAUUGAAACCAUUGUCUUGUGAGCUUAUGCACACAAGACAAAUAACAAGAAUCGUGCAGAAGAUAAUCAUUUUUUUGUGAUAAAUAAGGUCACAUGAGAAUUAAUUAUCAAAUUUAAAAUUACAAAAUCGAUCACCCAGCAUUGAAAAAUAUCUUUAGUAUUAUAGUUUAUGUCUUCGGCUCAUUUACCUGUAACGGACGUACUCUACCUAGGACUUUUGUUUUUUAUACAAUUGGUAUUGAGGAUCACUAUGCAAGUGCUAGUCAAAUACUUAUCAAUGGAUCCAGUUAACUAUUAACAACGCAGCAGAACCUGCCGAAUGAUGCAGUAAUCAAACCGCCUCAGGAACCUCUAACCAGACAGAUUUCAGGACUCUGAAGAUUAUCGACUGUCUAUAUUGCUGAAUUAGUAUUUGUCCAUUGCCAGCAUUCCAAUUAAGGUCACAAUCUGUUAGUUAUUCAGAGGGUAUUUGAAAUGUAAGAAUCGUCGUUAUGGCUGUCCAGUAUCAGAAAAAAUGGCAACAAUUGAUGAAGGAUCCCCAAUACUAAUUUAUCCAACAUAAUAUGUUCAUAGCCACGAACCUCUCGUAAUAUCUAGGUGUGUUUCCAGAUACCAACAAUUCUGAUGCUAGUUUUUCUAAUCAGGUACAGCAAAAAACAGAGCAUUAUUCGAUAUGUCAUUGAAACCAUUGUCUUGUGAGCUUAUGCACACAAGACAAAUAACAAGAAUCGUGCAGAAGAUAAUCAUUUUUUUGUGAUAAAUAAGGUCACAUGAGAAUUAAUUAUCAAAUUUAAAAUUACAAAAUCGAUCACCCAGCAUUGAAAAAUAUCUUUAGUAUUAUAGUUUAUGUCUUCGGCUCAUUUACCUGUAACGGACGUACUCUACCUAGGACUUUUGUUUUUUAUACAAUUGGUAUUGAGGAUCACUAUGCAAGUGCUAGUCAAAUACUUAUCAAUGGAUCCAGUUAACUAUUAACAACGCAGCAGAACCAGCCGAAUGAUGCAGUAAUCAAACCGCCUCAGGAACCUCUAACCAGACAGAUUUCAGGACUCUGAAGAUUAUCGACUGUCUAUAUUGCUGAAUUAGUAUUUGUCCAUUGCCAGCAUUCCAAUUAAGGUCACAAUCUGUUAGUUAUUCAGAGGGUAUUUGAAAUGUAAGAAUCGUCGUUAUGGCUGUCCAGUAUCAGAAAAAAUGGCAACAAUUGAUGAAGGAUCCCCAAUACUAAUUUAUCCAACAUAAUAUGUUCAUAGCCACGAACCUCUCGUAAUAUCUAGGUGUGUUUCCAGAUACCAACAAUUCUGAUGCUAGUUUUUCUAAUCAGGUACAGCAAAAAACAGAGCAUUAUUCGAUAUGUCAUUGAAACCAUUGUCUUGUGAGCUUAUGCACACAAGACAAAUAACAAGAAUCGUGCAGAAGAUAAUCAUUUUUUUGUGAUAAAUAAGGUCACAU
Molecule: long non-coding RNA, 2085 nt
Organism: Acyrthosiphon pisum (pea aphid)
Lineage: Eukaryota; Metazoa; Arthropoda; Insecta; Hemiptera; Aphididae
Exons: 12
Source: RefSeq, a predicted model, not a curated record